RNAcentral lists this ribosomal RNA (253 nucleotides) under uncultured Spartobacteria bacterium. Its description in RNAcentral is "partial 16S ribosomal RNA". It matches the Rfam family "Bacterial small subunit ribosomal RNA", at positions 524 to 776 of the family's 1533-position model. Lineage: Bacteria; Pseudomonadati; Verrucomicrobiota; Spartobacteria. The record is from RNAcentral.
UACAGAGGUCUCAACCGUUGUUCGGAUUCAUUGGGCGUAAAGGGUGCGUAGGUGGUCGCGUAAGUCGGAUGUGAAAUCUCGGGGCUCAACCCUGAAACUGCAUUCGAUACUGCGUGGCUAGGGUGCUGGAGGGGAGACUGGAAUUUACGGUGUAGCAGUGAAAUGCGUAGAUAUCGUAAGGAAGACCAGUGGCGAAGGCGAGUCUCUGGACAGUUACCGACACUGAGGCACGAAGGCCAGGGGAGCGAACGGG